Molecule: unclassified non-coding RNA, 203 nt
Filed under: Glomeromycetes sp.
Lineage: Eukaryota; Fungi; Glomeromycota; Glomeromycetes
Description: partial contains 5.8S ribosomal RNA and internal transcribed spacer 2
Rfam family: 5.8S ribosomal RNA (bases 1-71)
Source: RNAcentral
GUGAAUCAUCGAAUUUUUGAACGCAAAUUGCGCUUCCUGGCAUCCCGGGAAGUAUGCCUGUUUGAGGGUCAGUAUUAAUAAAAAAUCGGGUAAGUUACAAAUUGUGACGUGUCCGGAGUUUGGGCUAUCUUAACAUUUUUGGUUAAGAGGGUUAAAGUUGACCUUUUUAGCGCAUGUUUAAACGGACAUAGAUGUUUCGUAUU